Molecule: transfer RNA, 72 nt
Organism: Camelus ferus (Wild Bactrian camel)
Lineage: Eukaryota; Metazoa; Chordata; Mammalia; Artiodactyla; Camelidae
Rfam family: tRNA
About the family: Transfer RNA (tRNA) molecules are approximately 80 nucleotides in length. Their secondary structure includes four short double-helical elements and three loops (D, anti-codon, and T loops).
Source: Rfam
GAGGGUAUAGCUCAGUGGUAGAGCAUGUGCUUAACAUGCAUGAGGUCCUGGGUUCAAUCCCCAGUACUUCCA